CAAUAGCGUAUAUUAAAGUUGUUGCAGUUAAAAAGCUCGUAGUUGGAUUUCUGGUGGGAGCGAUCGGUCUGGCGCUUAGCGCGAGUACUUGCAUCGUCUCCGGCCAUCCUUGGGGAGAGUCUGUCUGGCAUUAGGUUGUCGGGCAGAGGAUCCUCAUCGUUUACUGUGAAAAAAUUAGAGUGUUCAAAGCAGGCUUAUGCCGUUGAAUAUGUUAGCAUGGAAUAAUAAGAUAGGACUUUGGUACUAUUUUGUUGGUUUGCGCACCAAAGUAAUGAUUAAUAGGGACAGUUGGGGGUAUUCGUAUUCCGUUGUCAGAGGUGAAAUUCUUGGAUUUACGGAAGACGAACUACUGCGAAAGCAUUUACCAAGGAUGUUUUCAUUGA
This 383-nucleotide ribosomal RNA is filed under the name uncultured eukaryote. Its description in RNAcentral is "partial 18S ribosomal RNA". It matches the Rfam family "Eukaryotic small subunit ribosomal RNA", at positions 592 to 976 of the family's 1831-position model. The record is from RNAcentral.